CUCGCAGGCAUAUUCGCCAUGGCUAUGGCUACAUUUUUCCCAUGAAGGCACUUCUCUCACAGUGCGCUAAAUCCCGGACUAAAAAAUUCCGUGUUGCUUGGUUGGAUCCUUUGCAUCGGGGUUAGGUAGGACGGAGCUCACUCGUCUUGGUAUGAUCUAGGGUUCUUGGAUGUAGAGGAGAGGAAGAGAGCGCAGGGUGAGUGAUCGAUCGAUCCAAUCCGAAUGAGGCGCGCCGCCGCUGUGGAUGUCGAUCGCCGGCCCGGCAAGCGCGUGAGAUUAUGGGCGGAGCCGGCCGCCGCCGUGGAGCACAUCGCCACGAAUGUCCCUGUAGAAUGUGGGGGAUUCUACGAUCCAUCGAGGUACUGGCGGCAGCAUCCAGCGAUCUAUGCUCCAGCGCCAGCGAUUUACGCCGCUCCUCACUACUACCAGACGAUUGCGAGCACUUACACGGAGCCCCAGGAUUUUCCGCGGAGGAUUCAUGCUGGUAUGGUCACAGCGGCUGCUCUCCAGGUACCCAACCCCGUGACCGGCCAUCUCAACGUAGUAGUUCCUCCUCAAGCUUGCCACGAAGAUGACAAAGAUGGCCAUUUCGUUUUCGAGCUCGGGGAGAACAUCACACCUCGCUACAAAAUCAUAGGAAAGAUGGGUGAAGGGACCUUUGGGCGAGUCUUGGAGUGCUGGGAUCGCGACACACAGGAGUAUGUGGCUAUCAAGCUCAUAAGAAAUGUGCAAAAGUAUCGUGACGCCGCCAUGAUUGAGAUUGAUGUUCUCAACGAGCUUGCGAGAUAUGACCGGAAUGGUUCAAGACGUUGUGUCCAGUUAAAGCGCUGGUUCGAUUUCCGGAACCACAUUUGCAUGGUUUUCGAGAAGUUGGGACCAAGCCUUUAUGACUUUCUCAGGAAGAAUGAGUAUCGUCCUUACGCAAUCGAUCUUGUUCGGGAGUUUGGUCGGCAGCUGCUCGAGUCCGUAGCAUACAUGCACGAUCUUACUCUUAUCCACACGGAUUUGAAGCCGGAAAACAUUCUGCUCGUGUCUCCAGAUCAUGUCAAAGUCCCCGACUUCAAGGGCCUGUACCAACGAUCAGGACCAGGACGGUGCUACGUGAGAGUUCCAAGGACGAGCGAGAUCAAGCUCAUCGACUUCGGAAGCGCAACAUUUAACAGUCAUUACCACUGCUCGGUAAUAUCGACGAGGCACUACAGAGCACCAGAAGUGAUACUUGGCCUCGGCUGGUCUUACUCCUGUGAUAUAUGGAGCAUAGGCUGUAUACUUGUUGAGCUGUGCUCGGUAUAUGCAGUUACCUUGGGAUUCAAACAACACAAUCAUUCUCCUGCUGUAAUUUCAGGGUAGUACGCUCUUCCAAACGCAUGAGAAUCUGGAACAUCUGGCUAUGAUGGAACGUAUAAUUGGUCCACUCCCUGCUCACAUGAUCGAGAAAGCAGAUCGACGAGCCGAGAAGUAU
Molecule: RNA transcript, 1462 nt
Organism: Selaginella moellendorffii
Lineage: Eukaryota; Viridiplantae; Streptophyta; Lycopodiopsida; Selaginellales; Selaginellaceae
Gene name: serine/threonine-protein kinase AFC1
Exons: 10
Source: RefSeq, a predicted model, not a curated record